RNAcentral lists this ribosomal RNA (497 nucleotides) under uncultured bacterium. RNAcentral describes it as "partial 16S ribosomal RNA". It matches the Rfam family "Bacterial small subunit ribosomal RNA", at positions 28 to 507 of the family's 1533-position model. The record is from RNAcentral.
GAUGAACGGGGACGGCGUGCCUAAUACAUGCAAGUCGAGCGAACAGACGAGGAGCUUGCUCCUCUGACGUUAGCGGCGGACGGGUGAGUAACACGUGGAUAACCUACCUAUAAGACUGGGAUAACUUCGGGAAACCGGAGCUAAUACCGGAUAAUAUAUUGAACCGCAUGGUUCAAUAGUGAAAGACGGUUUUGCUGUCACUUAUAGAUGGAUCCGCGCCGCAUUAGCUAGUUGGUAAGGUAACGGCUUACCAAGGCAACGAUGCGUAGCCGACCUGAGAGGGUGAUCGGCCACACUGGAACUGAGACACGGUCCAGACUCCUACGGGAGGCAGCAGUAGGGAAUCUUCCGCAAUGGGCGAAAGCCUGACGGAGCAACGCCGCGUGAGUGAUGAAGGUCUUCGGAUCGUAAAACUCUGUUAUUAGGGAAGAACAAAUGUGUAAGUAACUAUGCACGUCUUGACGGUACCUAAUCAGAAAGCCACGGCUAACUACGUG